UUGUGUGAUACAACAGUGUACAGGCUUCAAGUCACUUGAUUUUAAGUCAUUAAUCCGUCUAUAAAAUAGUUCGUGGGUUUCGUUAGUGGUAGAAAAGAAAAUAAUAUAUUAGUAGAUAUUGCAGACUGCUGAUGUUGUCAUCGCGGCCCUUGUUACGGUCGAUUGUCCCCAGUAAAUUUGUCUGCUCGCCUGAUUACGCUGACACACGUGCGUGCAAAACUAAAUUCAGACCUUCCUGUUGAUCCUUUGUGACCAGUAGGAGUUAGUGCGUUGAGCGCUCAGCACAUUGUUGUAACACAAUAGUGACCGGCCUACUAAACCAUUGUCAAAUAUUGAUACCCAACUGGGUCAAACUUGAAGUGAAGUAUUGUACUGAAGUUCGAUAACGCUGCUAUGGAUUUGCGACUGACGAUUUUCUUAUGUUUUUUCUUAGUCGUGGUUGCUUCGGCUUUUCCUUCGGAGAAUGCUGUGUUGCGGGAGAGGCGUGAUGUGAUGGACUCCAUGAAGCACGCAUGGGGAGAAGUCGUGAGAACACUGAGCGAUGCAGGAGACGCUGUCGUCCAUGUGUUUAAGCCAACAGAGAAGAGCGUUGUCAACAAGCUAACAGAUGGAAUCAAGAGCUUCGCAGACUAACCAGUUCCUUGCAUUAUCCUUUCUAGUGCUUACGUAAAAACGAGUAUUGAAACGCUAUUGGCAACUUGGCCUUAUUAAUAUUACACUUACUUCAUCGCCCGACUGUUCUUGCCUAUAGAUGGUGUCUUCUUUUUGGAUAGAUAACUGUUUUAACAUGAUUUAAUAAUGAAUUAAAGUAAAAAAAAAAUUAGGCCACCUUUCUUUUACUACGUUUUUUUUCUAUUUUAUAGGAAUUACAUCGUAAUAGUUAGUUAAGUAAAAUAAACUUAAGCAAAUAAAUUAGUUUUAAGUUUUAUUACAUGGUAAUAAUGUAUUUAUCAUUACAUUGUGUCUCAUAAUCGUACUCGAUAAAUAUGGUGAAUAAUAUUUUUGCAGGCAAUUCGUCCCAUAUUUUCUUUUAGUAAGUCAUACUACUCUUUACUUGUCUUAGUAAGUACAUUUUAUAUUUACAAUUAUUUCAAUGUUAAUGUAGCCGUUUGCUUUGAACUGCCUUUUCAAUGUAACGUAGUGUUGUAGUAGUGUAGUGCUAGUACCUACUCUUUUUCCAUUUCAUUGAAAUCGACUUAGCCUUACUACAGUAAAAUUGUAUAAACAAACAUGCACACACACGCCUUCAUAAUAUAUUAGUUAGCAUUAGACCGGUUAGAAAUAAAUAAAUCAAAUCUG
Helicoverpa zea (corn earworm) is the source of this 1299-nucleotide long non-coding RNA. RefSeq lists it as uncharacterized. The transcript has 2 exons. NCBI's taxonomy places the organism in Eukaryota, Metazoa, Arthropoda, Insecta, Lepidoptera, Noctuidae. The record is from RefSeq and is a predicted model, not a curated record.